Molecule: long non-coding RNA, 2418 nt
Organism: Carassius gibelio (silver crucian carp)
Lineage: Eukaryota; Metazoa; Chordata; Actinopteri; Cypriniformes; Cyprinidae
Exons: 5
Source: RefSeq, a predicted model, not a curated record
AUCACAUUUGCAUGAUCAUGAUUUUUUGAUGUUGGUUAUGUCCACAUGACAUGCAGGUAAACAAAUGAAAUGUUAAACUUUUUUAGUAAGAUUUUAUUUUGAUUGGUUUUAAAAUUAUUUAUUUUAAUGUAUCCUUUUUUUAUGAUUUAAUUAAUUAGCUUUUUAUUAAAGUCACAAACCCUAGUUUGGGAAACCUUGAUUUAAUGUUUAAUGCACUUCAUGUUAAUAACAACAAAUGGAAUAUAUAUAUUUAUUAGUCAUGGGCCGGUAUGAGAUUUUGAUGGUAUGAUAACCUUAAGCAAACAUAUCACGGUUUCACAGUAUUGUUUUUACAGCUCUGAAAUGAUUGAGAAUCAUGAGUCAGUUCGGGAGUUCGGAGCGAGUUCGCGGAUCAUUUGAGUCAGUUCGGGAGUUCAAAGCGGGUUCGCGAAUCAUUUGAGUCAGUUUGGGGAUCGCGAAUCAUUUGAAUCAGUUCAGGAGUUCGUAGCGGGAUCGCGAAUCAUUUGAAUCAGUUCGGUAGUUCGUAGCGGGAUCGCGAAUCAUUUGAGUCAGUUCGGGAGUUCGAAGCGGCUUCGCGAAUCAUUUGAAUUAGUUCGGGAGUUCGGAGCGGUUUCGUGAAUCAUUUGAGUCGGUUCGGGAGUUCAAAGCGGGUUCGCGAAUCAUUUGAGUCAGUUUGGAGAUCGCGAAUCAUACACAGCAAAAAAUUGAGUUUAUUUCAACACCCAAAGAGUAAUUUUAACACAUUCAGAGUAAAAUGGUGUUUGGUGUUGGAGUUAUUUCACAGAGUUGAUCAUCAGUGUUAAACAAACUCCACAGAGACGUAAUUAGACUCCGCCCACGCAUUUCCAAUCGUCGCUGGUGAAAUCCAUGAAGACGUUGCCAUUAUCCUCGUGUGGCUUUGAAAGGUAAGAUAAAUUUAAUCAUACUUUUACAUUUAUGAUUGGUGCUUAUUCAGUAGAGAAUGUACAGCAUAACGUGCUAUGGAGCACUGUGCAUAAACGUAUAUUAGGCUGUGUGUGUGCAUUCGCUUCCACAUUUCAAGUUAACGUACAUCGUGGCAGCGGUUUACGCUCGAGCUUUUCGAUUUAACAGCUUGGUCUCUAAUAAAUAUGCUUUACCGAAUUAAUAAAACGAGCGAUCUUUUACAAAGCCUCGUUUAUUGCCAUCGUCGACGUGAUUAGCUUCGUUAGCUAGCUAAGUUACUGUACGAACAGUACGAACAGCAGAAGUAUGUGAAGCUGGACUGCAUUUAAGAGAGGUUUAACUUUAUGUAAUUUCACAUCAAAGGUUGUUUUUUUUUUCUUACUCCUUUAAAAUAACUAAGAAUUUGAUUAAAAUCUGAUAAAUUCUGUUUAUUGUGUUGUUGCCUCAUUUCUGUAUUUGCCUUUAUCACAUAAUUUUCUGUAGAAGGGGAUGUAUUGAUAAAAUAAAAAUUAUUCAUAUUUACAUUUUGCUUGCAUCAUAAAAAAACAUGUUUUCGGAUCAGACAUUUGUUGUGAAGCAAGAAAGGGCGUCAACUUAAAUAAUUUUUUCUUCUUUUUUCAGUCAUUGAGAAAUUUUGCUUGCCACCUAAUGCAAAAGUUACAUACAAGGAUGCAACAGGGACAGAAGUCGAUGCAGAAAUAUUCAGCGACCUCAUUGGACAAGGCAAUGUGGUGCUGACUGUUUUCUCAAAUGAUGAAUUUUCAGACUCUUUGUCUUCCAUAUCUGAGAAGUCUGACAAAAGCAACAGUUCAAGUGCAUCCACUGUAAUCUUUCAUGAGGUCCCUAACAAGAGACAAAGAAAAGAGGACACAUCUGCACUGUCUGCAAAACAGGCAACUCCCUACUUAAGCUAUCGGAGAACAGUAUGCUGCUUGCAUAGUGAUACUGUUCCCUCAAAGAUCCAUAUUCCAAGAAAGGCUACGAACACUUUUAUGAUGCUGCAAGCAACAUAGGACACAUUGCUUGGCAUAUGAAAACAGUCCACAGGAAGAUGAGACGAGGAUCUUUGCCACUAGACAGCCCUCAUGAUGUUUCUCCAGGAGGCCCAAAAUGCCAAAAAGCUACUAAUUUUGAAGGGCAACUUGAUGGGAGUUCUUGCAGAGAGGCCAUUUCUUUGCUCAGCCAAACCACAGAGAAGUCCCUAAUAUUCCAAAAGAUGAGAGAGACCUUUCAGCAUCGCCAAGAGCUUAUUAAAGAUCCAGGCUCUAGUGUUGAUAUCCUCUCCACAUUCCCAUGAUUCAUAGAUACAAAAGGCCUGGUUGGUCAAGACUUCACUCUCCUGUUUGACACCGAGACAUCCUCCAGGCUGCUUCAGAAGAGGGACACACUCUUCAGGCCAAAUGUCAUUAAAGACACCAAGCAACUUACUUCAACAGCAGAGAUGAGUCAGUUGUUGCUCUCAGCAGAAUGUCCUGAAGGAAGUGACCUUCAUGA